This 495-nucleotide ribosomal RNA is filed under the name uncultured bacterium. RNAcentral's name for it is "partial 16S ribosomal RNA". It matches the Rfam family "Bacterial small subunit ribosomal RNA", at positions 28 to 507 of the family's 1533-position model. The record is from RNAcentral.
GACGAACGCUGGCGGCGUGCCUAAUACAUGCAAGUAGAACGCUGAAGGAGGAGCUUGCUUCUCUGGAUGAGUUGCGAACGGGUGAGUAACGCGUAGGUAACCUGCCUGGUAGCGGGGGAUAACUAUUGGAAACGAUAGCUAAUACCGCAUAAGAGUAGAUGUUGCAUGACAUUUGCUUAAAAGGUGCAAUUGCAUCACUACCAGAUGGACCUGCGUUGUAUUAGCUAGUUGGUGAGGUAACGGCUCACCAAGGCAACGAUACAUAGCCGACCUGAGAGGGGGAACGGCCACACUGGGACUGGGACACGGCCCAGACUCCUACGGGAGGCAGCAGUAGGGAAUCUUCGGCAAUGGACGGAAGGCUGACCGAGCAACGCCGCGGGAGUGAAGAAGGGUUUCGGAUCGUAAAGCUCUGUUGUAAGGGAAGAACGAGUGUGAGGGUGGAAAGUUCACGCUGUGACGGUAGCUUAACAGAAAGGGACGGCUAACUACGUG